Molecule: small RNA, 771 nt
Filed under: Pongo abelii (Sumatran orangutan)
Lineage: Eukaryota; Metazoa; Chordata; Mammalia; Primates; Hominidae
Description: retained intron
Source: RNAcentral
CGCCACUGAGAGGGACGGGCGCCGGCCAUGGAGCGCACAGCAGGCAAAGAGCUGGCCCUGGCACCGCUGCAGGACUGGGGUGAAGAGACCGAGGACGGCGCGGUGUACAGUGUCUCCCUGCGGCGGCAGAGCAGUCAGCGCUGGAGCCCGGCGCAGGGCCCCGGGGGCAGCCAGGCCCCCAGCCCCAUCGUCAAUACCUUCCUCCACUAUCGAACCAGCAAGGUGCGGGUGCUGAGGGCGGCGCGCCUGGAGCGGCUGGUGGGAGAGUUGGUGUCUGGAGACCGUGAGCAGGACCCCAGCUUUGUGCCCGCCUUCCUGGCCACCUACCGGACCUUUGUACCCACUGCCAGCCUGCUGGGCUUUCUGCUGCCACCAACGCCGCCGCCCCCACCUCCCGGGUCAGUAGCGAACCAGAACCUCCAUAUUACCCACCCUAGAACCCCAAUUGGGCACCCCCCUCCACCUCCUCAGGUGUGGAAUCUGGAAACACCUCCCAGACCCAGAGCCCUCUUGCUAAGCCCCCUCUAGGUUCCCCCUUCUUCACCUGCUGGGGGGCCUCUUCCCAGGCUAGAGAUCAAGAAGACGGCGGUACAAGAUCUGAGCUUCAACAAGAACCUGAGGUGGGUCCUUCAUCCAGAUAGGGGAGUGCGGGGAGGGAAAUCCCGGAGGUCAAAGGUUAGCAGUUGGCCUGGGGUCUUGAAAAUUGCAGGUUGGAUAAUAAAAGACUGGGAGUCAGGCCGGGCGCAGUGGCUCAUGCCUGUAAUCCCAAUA